UGGGAUUGCGGGGUGCUAUACAUGCAGUCGAGCGAACUGAUUAGAAGCUUGCUUCUAUGACGUUAGCGGCGGACGGGUGAGUAACACGUGGGCAACCUGCCUGUAAGACUGGGAUAACUUCGGGAAACCGAAGCUAAUACCGGAUAGGAUCUUCUCCUUCAUGGGAGAUGAUUGAAAGAUGGUUUCGGCUAUCACUUACAGAUGGGCCCGCGGUGCAUUAGCUAGUUGGUGAGGUAACGGCUCACCAAGGCAACGAUGCAUAGCCGACCUGAGAGGGUGAUCGGCCACACUGGGACUGAGACACGGCCCAGACUCCUACGGGAGGCAGCAGUAGGGAAUCUUCCGCAAUGGACGAAAGUCUGACGGAGCAACGCCGCGUGAGUGAUGAAGGCUUUCGGGUCGUAAAACUCUGUUGUUAGGGAAGAACAAGUACGAGAGUAACUGCUCGUACCUUGACGGUACCUAACCAGAAAGCCACGGCUAACUACGUGCCAGCAGCCGCGGUAAUACGUAGGUGGCAAGCGUUAUCCGGAAUUAUUGGGCGUAAAGCGCGCGCAGGCGGUUUCUUAAGUCUGAUGUGAAAGCCCACGGCUCAACCGUGGAGGGUCAUUGGAAACUGGGGAACUUGAGUGCAGAAGAGAAAAGCGGAAUUCCACGUGUAGCGGUGAAAUGCGUAGAGAUGUGGAGGAACACCAGUGGCGAAGGCGGCUUUUUGGUCUGUAA
Molecule: ribosomal RNA, 723 nt
Filed under: bacterium
Lineage: Bacteria
Description: bacterial SSU rRNA
Rfam family: Bacterial small subunit ribosomal RNA
Source: RNAcentral